This 444-nucleotide ribosomal RNA is filed under the name Rhodococcus sp. iCTE637. RNAcentral describes it as "bacterial SSU rRNA". It matches the Rfam family "Bacterial small subunit ribosomal RNA", at positions 8 to 456 of the family's 1533-position model. The record is from RNAcentral. Lineage: Bacteria; Bacillati; Actinomycetota; Actinomycetes; Mycobacteriales; Nocardiaceae.
AGAGUUUGAUCCUGGCUCAGGACGAACGCUGGCGGCGUGCUUAACACAUGCAAGUCGAGCGGUAAGGCCUUUCGGGGUACACGAGCGGCGAACGGGUGAGUAACACGUGGGUGAUCUGCCCUGCACUUCGGGAUAAGCCUGGGAAACUGGGUCUAAUACCGGAUAUGACCUCCUAUCGCAUGGUGGGUGGUGGAAAGAUUUAUCGGUGCAGGAUGGGCCCGCGGCCUAUCAGCUUGUUGGUGGGGUAAUGGCCUACCAAGGCGACGACGGGUAGCCGACCUGAGAGGGUGACCGGCCACACUGGGACUGAGACACGGCCCAGACUCCUACGGGAGGCAGCAGUGGGGAAUAUUGCACAAUGGGCGAAAGCCUGAUGCAGCGACGCCGCGUGAGGGAUGACGGCCUUCGGGUUGUAAACCUCUUUCAGCAGGGACGAAGCGCAAG